This is a non-coding RNA of Procambarus clarkii (red swamp crayfish), 1909 nucleotides long. The record is from RefSeq and is a predicted model, not a curated record. NCBI's taxonomy places the organism in Eukaryota, Metazoa, Arthropoda, Malacostraca, Decapoda, Cambaridae.
UGGAGAACAGCCGAUGCGAGAGGGCGGAGGACAGUAGCCACUACAACCCGGGAGAGGUCAGACGUGUUGUGUUUCCUCUUCAUUUUAUACCAUUACUAGUUAUUAUCGAAGAGUUAAACAGCACAAAUUGACACCAUCGUAUCCAGGUGAAUUAAGAAGUGAAGUCGUUAAUGUGGAAUCACUCAAAGACGGGGGACCACGUGACUGGCUGGCUGCCCACUUGCUACAAUAACAAAGCCUUCUUCUCAGAUAAGGCUUUCACAUGAUUCGAACCCAGGCCGCCACGGGUCAUCAACAGCGCUGACACUGACCACUGCACCAGCGAUCGUCUUACAGCCUUUAGGUUCUCAGGGGAAGCUGAAGCUGUGUUUCACUUCGAGCAUCCUGGGAAUUGUCAGUAAUUCGACCUUGUGGAAUACUGAGCACAACCUUGUGGGACUGAGCACAGGACGGCACGGAGACCUAGUGGGACUGAGCACAGUGCUCCAAAUUUAGAAUGCUUGUGCUUAAAAUGUUGGUCUCCGGCUUGCUGAAUCCUUGUCCCUUGCGCCUUCAGCUUGAAGUCUCCAAAGGAAUUUGUUGAUUUACUGCGGGGAACACGGGCCACAGGGAUAAGAGCCUCCUUGGACGUAGAAUCACUGUUUACCAACGUACCUGUGGAUUAAACAAUCGGGAUGAUAGUGGAGUGCAUCGUGAUCCGCCCUGUACUCCUCUUGACACACCUGAAAACAUUCUUAAGGAAACUACUACAAAGGCAGGACAUAACCCCAGACGGCUGGCUGGUGGUGUUGGUAUCCUGAGGAAACCGGUUGUCUGGGUCGCUUUCUUCCUAAACGUAGUCCUUCGGAGAAACUGUCUACAGUUAAGACACCGGUACGAAACUAAAGUCUGAUAUUUCGUCUAACGGUUGUCAUAAAUCGUCACCCUUCUCCUUUGAACCCCUUCUUGCACUAAAGGAAUCUGGGCAAGAUUUGGCCCAGACUUGUCUAAGCAUUAAAGGCUACGUGCAAAGUCUGCACUACAUCAUCUGUAGUACGUGCUGAGAAGAGGGCCGUAAAUAAGUCUCUCAUUGUGCGUGACUACCAAUACCUACAGGUUGGAUAAAGGCAAAUCUUGGUGGUAGUGUUACCAGAGGGUUGCAGGUAGUUGGUAUUAAAGAAAGGGACUACAGUUAUCGGCAGACAUAUGAUGCAGUUCAUAUGGAGAAUGGGCAAGGAGCGAGGCGCGAGGAGCUAGAGCUGGUCAUCCGGGUACAUUGUCCAACAGCAACUAGUCUCACUGCAGGGCUCGGUAGAAGACAGGUAUGACGCCCUGGUACUGAACAGCGUGUAUAACGACGGCAUAAAGCGGCACAACAGUACGUCAUCUGUGAGGGCAGCCUUUGAUAUAUAUUUAUGCAGAAUAGCUGCUCGUAUGGCAAAAAUUGAAGUUGUAAAAUAAACGUGUAAAGGUCAUAAUGUUCUUAAAUACCUUACGCAAGAGGUGGUGUAACGGUUGGUAGACCCGUGAGGGUAAUGUCUGUAUGUUGAUGUUUAUGAAACGUGAAUAUUUAGUGUUAGUCGAGAAAUGCAUAAUGGCUUCUGACUUAGAGUGGUAUAGGAACAAUACAGGUAAAAGGGGAUGGUUGUGUGUGAACAGCUAUAUGUAUAGCAGAACCCCUGGCUUAUAUUAUUCUAACUAGCUGGUAUAAUGUAAUAUAUAUGAAGCAAUGUAUUAAAUAGCGUGAAUAUAUUAUACUAUUAAAAUGUAUAAUAUACGAAUACAUGGAAUAACUAAUAUUUAAUUGUAUACCAUUAUAAUAUAUGAAUUAAGAGUAUAAUAAAUAUAUAGUAUAUUAAAUGGUACAAAUAUACAAUAUAUUGUAUACUAUUUUCAUUAAAUCUACUAAUGCUAAUAAAAUAAGAUGUAU